This is a long non-coding RNA of Diabrotica virgifera virgifera (western corn rootworm), 484 nucleotides long. RefSeq lists it as uncharacterized. NCBI's taxonomy places the organism in Eukaryota, Metazoa, Arthropoda, Insecta, Coleoptera, Chrysomelidae. The record is from RefSeq and is a predicted model, not a curated record. The transcript is spliced from 3 exons.
GUGGCUCUGUAACGUCAUCUGUCACUAUUACGUCACCUGUCAUGACUAGUUAAGAAGCUUUCGUCUGUUUAUUUCCUCCCUCCAAAUUUCAUUAUUAUAGGUAUAAACAUUCAAAAUAUACGAGGGGGGUACGGACUUUUGACUAGCACUGUAUAAAGCCACACCACCAGCUUACAUCAAUUCACAGUUUAAUUUGAAAACAUGAAGGCUGGCUUUGUAUUGGCCAUUUAAGUUUGCGUCGGUCUUACCGUCAGCGCCCAAAAGAUUGACAUAAGUGAGAUGAAGUUGAAGAAGAAAUGAGAGACUUGUGCCAUGUUUUCCCAGAUCAUUAUGAAAAAUCGUGCGAGGACAAUCUUAGUCCAGCAAUCGAUCAAAUGUACAACCAGUUGGAAGACACACCUUCUAGAGAUCUAUGCGUUAAGUUGGAAUUAUGUAAUUAAUAUCUUUGUUAGAUAUUAUAUUAUAAUAAAAAAUUUAUAGUAAA